UGACCCGCCAACGGGGAGCAGCGGCCCAAGGUAUGAUUCAUGAUUGGGGUG
This 51-nucleotide ribosomal RNA is filed under the name uncultured bacterium. RNAcentral's name for it is "partial 16S ribosomal RNA". The record is from RNAcentral.